CCUACGGGAGGCUGCAGUGGGGAAUAUUGGACAAUGGGGGCAACCCUGAUCCAGCCAUGCCGCGUGUGUGAAGAAGGCCCUCGGGUUGUAAAGCACUUUCAGUGAGGAAGAACGCCUGGUGGUUAAUACCCAUCAGGAAAGACAUCACUCACAGAAGAAGCACCGGCUAACUCCGUGCCAGCAGCCGCGGUAAUACGGAGGGUGCGAGCGUUAAUCGGAAUUACUGGGCGUAAAGCGCGCGUAGGUGGCUUGAUAAGCCGGUUGUGAAAGCCCCGGGCUCAACCUGGGAACGGCAUCCGGAACUGGCAAGCUAGAGUGCAGGAGAGGAAGGUAGAAUUCCCGGUGUAGCGGUGAAAGGCGUAGAGAUCGGGAGGAAUACCAGUGGCGAAGGCGGCCUUCUGGACUGACACUGACACUGAGGUGCGAAAGCGUGGGUAGCAAACAGGAUUAGAUACCCCUGUAGUC
RNAcentral lists this ribosomal RNA (465 nucleotides) under Vreelandella stevensii. RNAcentral describes it as "partial 16S ribosomal RNA". It matches the Rfam family "Bacterial small subunit ribosomal RNA", at positions 338 to 795 of the family's 1533-position model. Lineage: Bacteria; Pseudomonadati; Pseudomonadota; Gammaproteobacteria; Oceanospirillales; Halomonadaceae. The record is from RNAcentral.